RNAcentral lists this transfer RNA (56 nucleotides) under Cautires sp. UPOL A00024. Its description in RNAcentral is "partial tRNA-Ser". Lineage: Eukaryota; Metazoa; Arthropoda; Insecta; Coleoptera; Lycidae. The record is from RNAcentral.
AAAGAAAUAUUUUUAAAAAAAGCUUCUAACUUUUUUACAAGCAUUAUUAUGUUUAU